GACGAACGCUGGCGGCGUGCUUAACACAUGCAAGUCGAACGGAAAGGCCCUGCUUUUGUGGGGUGCUCGAGUGGCGAACGGGUGAGUAACACGUGAGUAACCUGCCCUUGACUUUGGGAUAACUUCAGGAAACUGGGGCUAAUACCGGAUAGGAGCUCCUGCUGCAUGGUGGGGGUUGGAAAGUUUCGGCGGUUGGGGAUGGACUCGCGGCUUAUCAGCUUGUUGGUGGGGUAGUGGCUUACCAAGGCUUUGACGGGUAGCCGGCCUGAGAGGGUGACCGGCCACAUUGGGCCUGAGAUACGGCCCAGACUCCUACGGGAGGCAGCAGUGGGGAAUAUUGCACAAUGGGCGGAAGCCUGAUGCAGCAACGCCGCGUGCGGGAUGACGGCCUUCGGGUUGUAAACCGCUUUCGCCUGUGACGAAGCGUGAGUGACGGUAACGGGUAAAGAAGCACCGGCUAACUACGUG
This 468-nucleotide ribosomal RNA is filed under the name uncultured bacterium. Its description in RNAcentral is "partial 16S ribosomal RNA". It matches the Rfam family "Bacterial small subunit ribosomal RNA", at positions 28 to 507 of the family's 1533-position model. The record is from RNAcentral.